Molecule: transfer RNA, 71 nt
Filed under: Crassvirales sp.
Lineage: Duplodnaviria; Heunggongvirae; Uroviricota; Caudoviricetes; Crassvirales
Description: tRNA-Gln
Rfam family: tRNA
About the family: Transfer RNA (tRNA) molecules are approximately 80 nucleotides in length. Their secondary structure includes four short double-helical elements and three loops (D, anti-codon, and T loops). Further hydrogen bonds mediate the characteristic L-shaped molecular structure. tRNAs have two regions of fundamental functional importance: the anti-codon, which is responsible for specific mRNA codon recognition, and the 3' end, to which the tRNAs corresponding amino acid is attached (by aminoacyl-tRNA synthetases). tRNAs cope with the degeneracy of the genetic code in two manners: having more than one tRNA (with a specific anti-codon) for a particular amino acid; and 'wobble' base-pairing, i.e. permitting non-standard base-pairing at the 3rd anti-codon position.
Source: RNAcentral
UGGACUAUGGUGUAAUGGUAGCACAAUAGAUUUUGGUUCUGUUAGUGAUGGUUCGAGUCCGUCUAGUCUAA